CGAAAGCCUGACGGAGCAAGACCGCGUGGGGGAAGAAGGCUCUUGGGUUGUAAACCCCUUUUCUCUGGGAAGAAAGUUGUGAAAGCAACCUGACGGUACCAGAGGAAUCAGCAUCGGCUAACUCCGUGCCAGCAGCCGCGGUAAGACGGAGGAUGCAAGCGUUAUCCGGAAUGAUUGGGCGUAAAGCGUCCGCAGGUGGCUUAUCAAGUCGAUUGUCAAAGGUCCUGGCUCAACUGGGAAGAGGCAGUGGAAACUGAAAAGCUAGAGUGCGGUAGGGGUAGAGGGAAUUCCCGGUGUAGCGGUGAAAUGCGUAGAGAUCGGGAAGAACACCAGUGGCGAAAGCGCUCUACUAGACCUGCACUGACACUCAGGGACGAAAGCUAGGGGAGCGAAUGGGAUUAGAU
This 404-nucleotide ribosomal RNA is filed under the name uncultured bacterium. RNAcentral's name for it is "bacterial SSU rRNA". It matches the Rfam family "Bacterial small subunit ribosomal RNA", at positions 376 to 783 of the family's 1533-position model. The record is from RNAcentral.